GUAUGCUUGACUCCGGAUAUGCCACCCGACUCAGCCGUUCUACCGUGAGGAGUGAUGUCGUCGUGUGGCAUACAGGGAGCCACGCAUAU
This 89-nucleotide microRNA precursor is filed under the name Olea europaea subsp. europaea. Lineage: Eukaryota; Viridiplantae; Streptophyta; Magnoliopsida; Lamiales; Oleaceae. The record is from RNAcentral.